Long non-coding RNA from Hirundo rustica (Barn swallow), 337 nucleotides. RefSeq lists it as uncharacterized. The record is from RefSeq and is a predicted model, not a curated record. NCBI's taxonomy places the organism in Eukaryota, Metazoa, Chordata, Aves, Passeriformes, Hirundinidae. The transcript has 3 exons.
GGGGAAGUAAUCAGUGAGGAUGUGCAAGGGUCUCUCAGAAAGCCCUAGGCAGGCAAUCGGACCCUUAUGUUUCUACUACCCAGUAUAAGUACAGACUUCUUACCAGCUUUUAUCACAGUCCUGGAUCCCCAGGGGGAAUGCUGCUCUAACCAAGCUCUUAGCAUGCCGUGGCAGUCAACAAGAUUAAGGCUGUUUCUGACGAGAGCAACCUCGCAGUUUGUCGUGGUGAAUGUACUGUUGGAGCCUCCUCUCCAGGCGAAGGAAGCAAUGACCUCCACCUCCUGUGAGCAAAGCACUGUGCCUGAAACAGCACCUGUAAAUGGGCAGCCAGUGCAAA